AGGGAAAGGUGAAAAGUACUCCAGCGAGGAGAGUGAAAUAGAACCUGAAACCAUUAGCUUACAAUCAUUCAGAGCCCUAUGAUUUAUCAGGGUGAUGGACUGCCUUUUGCAUAAUGAGCCUGCGAGUUGUGGUAUCUGGCAAGGUUAAGUCAAGUACGAAGCCGUAGCGAAAGCGAGUCUUAAUAGGGCGAAUUAGUCAGAUGCUGCAGACCCGAAACGAAGUGAUCUAUCCAUGAGCAGGUUGAAGCUGGUGUAAGAGCCAGUGGAGGACCGAACCCGCAGGCGUUGAAAAGUCUUGGGAUGACUUGUGGAUAGGGGUGAAAGGCCAAUCAAACUUCGUGAUAGCUGGUUCUCUCCGAAAUAUAUUUAGGUAUAGCCUUGUGUUGUAGCAUAUGGGGGUAGAGCACUGAAUGGGCUAGGGCUGCUUACCGCGGUACCAAACCCUAUCAAACUAUGAAUACUAUAUGUGGAAUCACAGGAGUCAGGCGGUGGGUGAUAAAAUCAAUCGUCGAGAGGGGAACAACCCAGACUAACAGCUAAGGUCCCUAAGUUACAUCUAAGUGGAAAACGAUGUGGAGUUACUGUGACAACCAGGAGGUUGGCUUAGAAGCAGCCAUCCUUUAAAGAAAGCGUAACAGCUCACUGGUCUAGUGAUUCUGCGCGGAAAAUAUAACGGGGCUAAGAUGUACACCGAAGCUUUAGAUUCAAUUUUUAAUUGAGUGGUAGGAGAGCGUUCUAUUCAGCGUAGAAGAUGUACCGGUAAGGAGCGUUGGAGCGGAUAGAAGUGAGCAUGCAGGCAUGAGUAGCGAUAAUUGAGGUGAGAAUCCUCAACGCCGAAAACCCAAGGUUUCCUACGCGAUGCUCGUCAUCGUAGGGUUAGUCGGGACCUAAGUCGAGUCCGAAAGGGGUAGACGAUGGCAAAUUGAUUAAUAUUUCAAUACCAACAUAUAAGCGCGAUGUGGGGACGCAUAGAGUUAAUCGAGGUCACUGAUGGAAUAGUGGCUCGAAGGACGUAGGCUGUUAAGUAGGCAAAUCCGCUUAACAUUAGGCCGAGAUCUUACAGGCUCUUGACACUCUUCGGAGGAGAUGGAGAAUCGAUGAUACUGUCGUGCCAAGAAAAGCCACUAAGUUUAUUAUAUGUUGCCCGUACCGUAAACCGACACAGGUGGGUGGGAUGAGUAUUCUAAGGCGCGUGGAAGAACCCUGGUUAAGGAACUCUGCAAACUAGCACCGUAUCUUCGGUAUAAGGUGUGCCUACUUUUGUAUAUGAACUUGCUUCAAAAAGCGAAAGAGGUUGCAACAAAGAGUCCCUCCCGACUGUUUACCAAAAACACAGCACUUUGCUAACACGUAAGUGGAUGUAUAAGGUGUGACGCCUGCCCGGUGCUCGAAGGUUAACUGAUGAUGUCAGCGCAAGCGAAGCAUUUGAUUGAAGCCCGAGUAAACGGCGGCCGUAACUAUAACGGUCCUAAGGUAGCGAAAUUCCUUGUCGGUUAAAUACCGACCUGCAUGAAUGGCGUAACGAGAUGGGAGCUGUCUCAACCAGGGAUCCAGUGAAAUUGUAGUGGAGGUGAAAAUUCCUCCUACCCGCGGAAAGACGGAAAGACCCCGUGCACCUUUACUACAGCUUGACACUGUAGCUUGGAUAUUCAUGUGCAGGAUAGGUGGGAGGCUAUGAUGACUAGACGCCAGUAGAGUCGGAGCCAUCCUUGAGAUACCACCCUUGAAUAUUUGAGUUACUAACUGCGUACAAUUAUCUUGUAUCAGGACAAUGUCUGGUGGGUAGUUUGACUGGGGCGGUCGCCUCCUAAAAAGUAACGGAGGCUUACAAAGGUUAGU
RNAcentral lists this ribosomal RNA (1839 nucleotides) under Aliarcobacter butzleri. RNAcentral's name for it is "partial 23S ribosomal RNA". It matches the Rfam family "Bacterial large subunit ribosomal RNA", at positions 506 to 2321 of the family's 2925-position model. Lineage: Bacteria; Pseudomonadati; Campylobacterota; Epsilonproteobacteria; Campylobacterales; Arcobacteraceae. The record is from RNAcentral.